GCCCCCGUAGCUCAAUUGGAUAGAGCGCCUGUCUUCGGAACAGGAGAUUCUGAGGGUUCGAGUCCUUCCGGGGGCA
RNAcentral lists this transfer RNA (76 nucleotides) under Candidatus Nealsonbacteria bacterium CG10_big_fil_rev_8_21_14_0_10_36_23. RNAcentral describes it as "tRNA-Arg". It matches the Rfam family "tRNA". From Rfam's summary of the family: Transfer RNA (tRNA) molecules are approximately 80 nucleotides in length. Their secondary structure includes four short double-helical elements and three loops (D, anti-codon, and T loops). Further hydrogen bonds mediate the characteristic L-shaped molecular structure. tRNAs have two regions of fundamental functional importance: the anti-codon, which is responsible for specific mRNA codon recognition, and the 3' end, to which the tRNAs corresponding amino acid is attached (by aminoacyl-tRNA synthetases). tRNAs cope with the degeneracy of the genetic code in two manners: having more than one tRNA (with a specific anti-codon) for a particular amino acid; and 'wobble' base-pairing, i.e. permitting non-standard base-pairing at the 3rd anti-codon position. The record is from RNAcentral. RNAcentral also lists the same sequence under 1 other name. Lineage: Bacteria; Candidatus Nealsoniibacteriota.